AACGAACGCUGGCGGCAUGCCUAACACAUGCAAGUCGAACGGGACCUUCGGGUCUAGUGGCGCACGGGUGCGUAACGCGUGGGAACCUGCCCUUAGGUUCGGAAUAACUCCCCGAAAGGGGUGCUAAUACCGGAUAAUGUCUUCGGACCAAAGAUUUAUCGCCUCUGGAUGGGCCCGCGUUGGAUUAGCUAGUUGGUAGGGUAAAAGCCUACCAUGGCGACGAUCCAUAGCUGGUCUGAGAGGAUGAUCAGCCACACUUGGGCUGCGACACGGCCCAGACUCCUACGGGAGGCAGCAGUGGGGAAUAUUGGACAAUGGACGAAGGCCUGAUCCCGCAAUGCCGCGUGAGUGAUGAAGGCCUUAGGGUUGUAAAGCUCUUUUACCCGGGAUGAUAAUGACAGUACCGGGAGAAUAAGCACCGGCUAACUCCGUG
RNAcentral lists this ribosomal RNA (433 nucleotides) under uncultured bacterium. Its description in RNAcentral is "partial 16S ribosomal RNA". It matches the Rfam family "Bacterial small subunit ribosomal RNA", at positions 29 to 507 of the family's 1533-position model. The record is from RNAcentral.